RNAcentral lists this ribosomal RNA (486 nucleotides) under uncultured bacterium. RNAcentral describes it as "partial 16S ribosomal RNA". It matches the Rfam family "Bacterial small subunit ribosomal RNA", at positions 30 to 507 of the family's 1533-position model. The record is from RNAcentral.
AUUGAACGCUGGCGGCAUGCCUUACACAUGCAAGUCGAACGGCAGCACGGGUGCUUGCACCUGGUGGCGAGUGGCGAACGGGUGAGUAAUACAUCGGAACAUGUCCUGUAGUGGGGGAUAGCCCGGCGAAAGCCGGAUUAAUACCGCAUACGAUCUACGGAUGAAAGCGGGGGACCUUCGGGCAUCGCGCCAUAGGGUUGGCCGAUGGCUGAUUAGCUAGUUGGUGGGGUAAAGGCCUACCAAGGCGACGAUCAGUAGCUGGUCUGAGAGGACGACCAGCCACACUGGGACUGAGACACGGCCCAGACUCCUACGGGAGGCAGCAGUGGGGAAUUUUGGACAAUGGGCGAAAGCCUGAUCCAGCAAUGCCGCGUGUGUGAAGAAGGCCUUCGGGUUGUAAAGCACUUUUGUCCGGAAAGAAAUCCUUGGCCCUAAUACGGUCGGGGGAUGACGGUACCGGAAGAAUAAGCACCGGCUAACUACGUG